RNAcentral lists this ribosomal RNA (837 nucleotides) under marine metagenome. RNAcentral describes it as "bacterial SSU rRNA". It matches the Rfam family "Bacterial small subunit ribosomal RNA", at positions 672 to 1520 of the family's 1533-position model. The record is from RNAcentral.
AGUGUAGAGGUGAAUUCGUAGAUAUUAGAAAGAAUACCAAUUGCGAAGGCAGCUUUCUGGAUCAUUACUGACACUGAGGAACGAAAGCAUGGGUAGCGAAGAGGAUUAGAUACCCUCGUAGUCCAUGCCGUAAACGAUGUGUGUUAGACGUUGGAAAUUUAUUUUCAGUGUCGCAGGGAAACCGAUAAACACACCGCCUGGGGAGUACGACCGCAAGGUUAAAACUCAAAUGAAUUGACGGGGACCCGCACAAGUAGUGGAGCAUGUGGUUUAAUUCGAAGAUACGCGCAGAACCUUACCAACACUUGACAUGUUCGUCGCGACUCUAAGAGAUUAGAGUUUUCGGUUCGGCCGGACGAAACACAGGUGCUGCAUGGCUGUCGUCAGCUCGUGUCGUGAGAUGUUGGGUUAAGUCCCGCAACGAGCGCAACCCUCACUUUUAGUUGCCAUCAUUAAGUUGGGCACUCUGAAAGAACUGCCAGUGAUAAGCUGGAGGAAGGUGGGGAUGACGUCAAGUCCUCAUGGCCCUUACGUGUUGGGCUACACACGUGCUACAAUGGUAUCUACAACAGGAAGCAAAACUGCGAAGUUAAGCAAAUCCCUAAAAGAUACCUCAGUUCGGAUUGCACUCUGCAACUCGAGUGCAUGAAGCUGGAAUUACUAGUAAUCGUGGAUCAGCGUGCCACGGUGAAUGCGUUCCCGGGUCUUGUACACACCGCCCGUCACACCAUGGGAGUUGGUUCUACCUUAAGGCAAGGUUUUAAACCCUUGACCACGGUAUAGUCAGCGACUGGGGGUGAAGUCGUAACAAGGUAGCCGUAGGGGAACCUGCGGCUG